This is a long non-coding RNA of Toxorhynchites rutilus septentrionalis, 614 nucleotides long. RefSeq lists it as uncharacterized. The transcript has 3 exons. The record is from RefSeq and is a predicted model, not a curated record. NCBI's taxonomy places the organism in Eukaryota, Metazoa, Arthropoda, Insecta, Diptera, Culicidae.
CAGCGAUUGUAGUUCUUCUCUUUCGCACUAGACUGUCAUCCAAAACAAAAGCGAGCGAAUGGAUGAUGUUAUCUUGUAUUCUUCAAAACAUGGAAACCAUGUCUGCAUGUUUCUUCAGCUGUGAACCUGCGAUCUUCUUGAAACACAAAAGCUGAAAUUGAACGCUGCAUGGGAAAAUCACAAUGGACACUUACACGAUUUCUUAGAAUGACCUUAUGGGUCACCAAAGCAAAAGGAACAAUUCUAAUCGAUACGUAUCGAACAGCAGAGUAAUGAAACGAGUGAUUCAAGCUUAUUGGAGUGAUGGUGGAGUUCCUGGAGUUCAUAAUUGGUUAUGAGGAUGAUGGUGAUUUCACUGUUGUGCUGGUUUCCAGCGAAAGAAGAGACAGACGAAAAUAAAAUUUCAGUGGAUGAGAUGAAUUUGGUGCACAGCGAGAAAAGGGAUGCGGCUAGUGUAUUGAUUGGAAACAACAAUCUGAAGGAAGAUCCAUCAGCAAAACGAACGCAAUAACAUUAAACAGAUAUCAUCGUAGCGUAAUUUUCCUGGAUGUCAUUUUUCAUUAUUUUAGUCAUAUAUUAAGAAAAGUGGAAAUGGAUUAUAUUAUAUUCUGAAU